Molecule: transfer RNA, 72 nt
Filed under: Phrynosoma platyrhinos (Desert horned lizard)
Lineage: Eukaryota; Metazoa; Chordata; Lepidosauria; Squamata; Phrynosomatidae
Description: tRNA-OTHER
Source: RNAcentral
GCCAGCAUGGUGUAGUGGUUUGAGCAUUGGACUAUGACUCUGGAGCCCAGGGUUUAAUUCCCUGCUCCAGCA